GCGGUACCGUCAGUGCUCGAAAAUAUUACCUCCGAACAUAUUCUUCCCGCCUGACAGAGUUUUACGACCCGAAGGCCUUCAUCACUCACGCGGCGUUGCUGCGUCAGGGUUACCCCCAUUGCGCAAAAUUCCU
This 133-nucleotide ribosomal RNA is filed under the name uncultured bacterium. RNAcentral's name for it is "partial 16S ribosomal RNA". The record is from RNAcentral.